UACAAAGUCAUUGAGAUGGAUC
This 22-nucleotide non-coding RNA is filed under the name Arabidopsis thaliana (thale cress). Lineage: Eukaryota; Viridiplantae; Streptophyta; Magnoliopsida; Brassicales; Brassicaceae. The record is from RNAcentral.